Molecule: long non-coding RNA, 206 nt
Filed under: Elaeis guineensis (African oil palm)
Lineage: Eukaryota; Viridiplantae; Streptophyta; Magnoliopsida; Arecales; Arecaceae
Description: long non-coding RNA (EGUI_LNC032026)
Source: RNAcentral
UCUGCUGUCCAGAAGCCCUGCUCCUUCUCUCACAGCGGCCUCAUGCCUCUCUCUCCUUUUCUUCAGGUUCUGCGCGGUGCUCUCUGCAAAAAACUGGACCACACCUCUUCUCUGUUGCCUCACAGGCCCUUUUAAAGGGCUUAAACAACGUUUAAACCUAAUUAGAUUAGGUUUAGGUCUCCUAAACAAGCCAAAUCAAGCCCCUG